UGGGAAGAGUCCUGGAUUCAGAGAUCAGAGGACCUGACUUUGAAACCCGGCCAUGACAGUUGGCAACUAUGAGACCUCAAGUCUCUGGACUUCUCAGGACCGUUUCUCCAUCUCUUCCUCUCUGAAAUGAAGGGGUUCAUCUAGAUCACCUCUAAGUCAGAAAUGUGCUGAGUUGACGUCCCAUGGCAGGACAAAAAUCAAGAUCUCUAGCGAUGGUCCAGAGCCAGGGGAUGACCUUGGGAUCUUCAGUGUGUGACCAAGCCCUAAGUACCCUGCUUUAGCCACCUUCAUGGCCAUUGGAACAAAAUGUUUUCAUCUGCCCGUUUCACUAAGCCUUAAUCACCAAUUGGACUGUUCCUUCAGUCAAGCUGAGACUUGUUGAAGACCACAGUUUAAAAAGGCCCAAGAACCCCAUUGCAUCCAAGACCAUCUCCAGUCAUCCUGUAUCUGGCCCCUGGACCCAGAUGGCUUUGAAGAAGAAAGUAAAGCUAGUGAAUUUGCAUAACCAAGCCUCACUUAACUCCAAUUCACUUUCAUGUCAUGGCAUCUCCUCCCCAGUGUCAUGGUCAUCUUUGAAAUCGAAGGACAAACAACAACGUCACCCACAGCUGCUGGAAGCAAUGGAGACAAACAGAAGGCCAACAGAAAGCAGUUCUGGACACUCAAAGAUAAGAAACAGCUGUCACAGAAGAGCAGAAAGUUGACAAUUUAUCAUAAAAGAUAACCAUGGACAGAGGUAUCAGAUGUGACGCAGGGUCAGCCUGCAACGCUCCUGACUAUUGCUUUGAACAGAUUAAAAUGUUAUUGGGAAAUAUAUAACGAAAUUCAUUUAAAUACAAUCAAAUUUAAAUAAUAUUAUGUUUACAAUCAAGUCAAUAUGUGGUUCACAGGGAUUUACUGUCUUCUGUUUUUAUUUGAGUUAGACACAACUGAUGUAGCAAAAAAAACCAGUAACUUGCAGCACUGUGGCAGCAUCCAAAACAAAGAGGUGUUCCCAUUGGGCUUGGCCCCAGGAGUUUAAGUUACCCUGUCUAUAUCUGCAUGUUCUCUCAUCCAUGUGGGUUACCUGACAAAAUGUUUUUUUCUUUCCCAUUGCUGUGUGAAUUUUCAGGAAAAUGUACUCUUUUAUGCAUAGUAAAAUUUCCCUUGUUAUUUAUCUGAAAAUAAUUGAGGUUUGCCAUUGUGAUAAUAAUUGGUAUUAAAAAG
Molecule: long non-coding RNA, 1206 nt
Filed under: Sarcophilus harrisii (Tasmanian devil)
Lineage: Eukaryota; Metazoa; Chordata; Mammalia; Dasyuromorphia; Dasyuridae
Description: lncRNA (ENSSHAG00000029323.1)
Source: RNAcentral